Jejuia pallidilutea is the source of this 167-nucleotide non-coding RNA. Lineage: Bacteria; Pseudomonadati; Bacteroidota; Flavobacteriia; Flavobacteriales; Flavobacteriaceae. The record is from Rfam.
GUGCAUUAGGGAUUGCAGCGGCAUCCUUUUUUGUAAUGGCAAAUGGGGCGUCAUUACGAGGAGGCACGACGAAGUAAUCUCUUGGGAUGAGGAGAUUGCUUCGGUAAACUCGCAACGACGCAGGUGCUAAAACAACAAAAAAGAUAUAGCGAAAAGCCCGACCACGC